UACGUAGGGGGCAAGCGUUAUCCGGAUUUACUGGGUGUAAAGGGAGCGUAGACGGCACUGCAAGUCUGGAGUGAAAGCCCGAGGCCCAACCACGGGACUGCUCUGGAAACUGCGGGGCUGGAGUGCAGGAGGGGCAGGCGGAAUUCCUGGUGUAGCGGUGAAAUGCGUAGAUAUCAGGAGGAACACCGGUGGCGAAGGCGGCCUGCUGGACUGCAACUGACGUUGAGGCUCGAAAGCGUGGGGAGCAAACAGG
This 253-nucleotide ribosomal RNA is filed under the name uncultured bacterium. RNAcentral's name for it is "partial 16S ribosomal RNA". It matches the Rfam family "Bacterial small subunit ribosomal RNA", at positions 524 to 776 of the family's 1533-position model. The record is from RNAcentral.